Carassius carassius (crucian carp) is the source of this 396-nucleotide long non-coding RNA. RefSeq lists it as uncharacterized. The transcript is spliced from 2 exons. NCBI's taxonomy places the organism in Eukaryota, Metazoa, Chordata, Actinopteri, Cypriniformes, Cyprinidae. The record is from RefSeq and is a predicted model, not a curated record.
CACCUCGUUUUUCUCCCGGUGGUCUCCAAACCACUGACAUUAAACAACAUGAGGACUCUCUCGACAUCACAAUGCAAUCCUUCCUUAUGCAACUUAAGGGAUCAUGCCCCAUCAAUCACCAAAACGACAAUGAAAGUUUUUGUUUCUAUUAUAAAGGCACGUUCUUACCCCAAAGAAUCUUUUUUUCCCACGCAUGCAAAGUAGAACACACAAACUACUUGUUUUGUUGCAUGCCUUUUAGACCCAUGCAGUUUAACUCUAAUGUUUUCAAAUGGUGUAAAUAAGAACUGUCUUGAAGAUUGGGGGCUUUGCCAGGGACUUUUCAGACUAUUCUCUCUCUUUUCCAUGUCUUUGAUUCCCUGAUCUCCAAAUAUUAUAAAUGCAAAUGACCAGAAA